GUGCACGCUGGCGGUAGGCCUCACACCUGCAAGUCGAACGGCAGCACAGUAAGAGCUUGCUCUUACGGGUGGCGAGUGGCGGACGGGUGGGGAAUACAUCGGAAUCUACUUUUUCGUGGGGGAUAACGUAGGGAAACUUACGCUAAUACCGCAUACGACCUACGGGUGAAAGCAGGGGAUCUUCGGACCUUGCGCGAUUGAAUGAGCCGAUGUCGGAUUAGCUAGUUGGCGGGGUAAAGGCCCACCAAGGCGACGAUCCGUAGCUGGUCUGAGAGGAUGAUCAGCCACACUGGAACUGAGACACGGUCCAGACUCCUACGGGAGGCAGCAGUGGGGAAUAUUGGACAAUGGGCGCAAGCCUGAUCCAGCCAUACCGCGUGGGUGAAGAAGGCCUUCGGGUUGUAAAGCCCUUUUGUUGGGAAAGAAAAGCAGCAGGUUAAUACCCCGCUGUUCUGACGGUACCCAAAGAAUAAGCACCGGCUAACUUCGUG
This 491-nucleotide ribosomal RNA is filed under the name uncultured bacterium. RNAcentral describes it as "partial 16S ribosomal RNA". It matches the Rfam family "Bacterial small subunit ribosomal RNA", at positions 29 to 507 of the family's 1533-position model. The record is from RNAcentral.